RNAcentral lists this ribosomal RNA (491 nucleotides) under uncultured bacterium. RNAcentral's name for it is "partial 16S ribosomal RNA". It matches the Rfam family "Bacterial small subunit ribosomal RNA", at positions 29 to 507 of the family's 1533-position model. The record is from RNAcentral.
AGUGAACGCUGGCGGUAGGCCUAACACAUGCAAGUCGAACGGCAGCACAGUAAGAGCUUGCUCUUACGGGUGGCGAGUGGCGGACGGGUGAGGAAUACAUCGGAAUCUACUUUUUCGUGGGGGAUAACGUAGGGAAACUUACGCUAAUACCGCAUACGACCUACGGGUGAAAGCAGGGGAUCUUCGGACCUUGCGCGAUUGAAUGAGCCGAUGUCGGAUUAGCUAGUUGGCGGGGUAAAGGCCCACCAAGGCGACGAUCCGUAGCUGGUCUGAGAGGAUGACCAGCAAAACUGGAAUGAGGAAACGGGCCAAAUCCCUAGGGGGGGAAGAAGGGGGAAAAAUGGGACAAGGGCGCAAGCCUGAUCCAGCCAUACCGCGUGGGUGAAGAAGGCCUUCGGGUUGUAAAGCCCUUUUGUUGGGAAAGAAAAGCAGCAGGUUAAUACCCCGCUGUUCUGACGGUACCCAAAGAAUAAGCACCGGCUAACUUCGUG